This 18-nucleotide small nuclear RNA is filed under the name Arabidopsis thaliana (thale cress). RNAcentral describes it as "snRNA_09130". The record is from RNAcentral. Lineage: Eukaryota; Viridiplantae; Streptophyta; Magnoliopsida; Brassicales; Brassicaceae.
AGCGGAUGGGGGCCGGCG